RNAcentral lists this long non-coding RNA (529 nucleotides) under Homo sapiens (human). Its description in RNAcentral is "non-protein coding lnc-TRIM73-1:3". Lineage: Eukaryota; Metazoa; Chordata; Mammalia; Primates; Hominidae. The record is from RNAcentral.
UGUGCGUGUGAACACUCUCAAGACCUGCUCCGUUUAUGUAGUUAUUUCAAGAGACAAGGUUUCUCCUAUCAGGGUCGGGCUUCCAGGCUGGAUGGAGUGCCCUGGCGCGAUCUCGGCUCACCGCAACCUCUGCCUCCUGGGUUCAAGCGAUUCUCCUGCUUCAGCCUUCUGAGUAGCUGGGAUUAUGAAGGGGUGGCCUGCCCCUCCACAUCUGUGGGAUAUCUCAUCAGAGAUGCCAGUGGGGCUUGAGAUUGAAUCACUUGCCCAGGCUCCCACUGCUGGUAAACAGUAGAGGGGGCUCCUGACCCAUCAGUCUGGCUUGACAACCCAUUCCCUCAACUGCGGAUCCCGGAUUCCCUUAUCACCCUGUUGAUUUCUCCAUAGCUGUGCCUUGAUGACUUACAAGCCCUCAAGGGGAAGCAUUUUCUCCUGGACUCCUUGAUGCCGGAGCUGCUGGUGUUUCCCGCCCAGACAGAUCUGCAUGAACACCCACUGUACCGGGCCGGACACCUCAUUCUGCAGGACAGGG